RNAcentral lists this ribosomal RNA (225 nucleotides) under uncultured bacterium. Its description in RNAcentral is "partial 16S ribosomal RNA". It matches the Rfam family "Bacterial small subunit ribosomal RNA", at positions 115 to 334 of the family's 1533-position model. The record is from RNAcentral.
ACGUGGGUAACCUGCCCAUCAGAGGGGAAUAACACUUGGAAACAGGUGCUAAUACCGUAUAACACUUAUUUUCCGCAUGGAAGAAAGUUGAAAGGCGCUUUUGCGUCACUGAUGGAUGGACCCGCGGUGCAUUAGCUAGUUGGUGAGGUAACGGCUCACCAAGGCCACGAUGCAUAGCCGACCUGAGAGGGUGAUCGGCCACACUGGGACUGAGACACGGCCCAG